RNAcentral lists this ribosomal RNA (497 nucleotides) under uncultured bacterium. Its description in RNAcentral is "partial 16S ribosomal RNA". It matches the Rfam family "Bacterial small subunit ribosomal RNA", at positions 28 to 507 of the family's 1533-position model. The record is from RNAcentral.
GAUGAACGCUGGCGGCGUGCCUAAUACAUGCAAGUCGAGCGAACAGACGAGGAGCUUGCUCCUCUGACGUUAGCGGAGGACGGGUGAGUAACACGUGGAUAACCUACCUAUAAGACUGGGAUCACUUCGGGAAACCGGCGCUUAUACCGGAUAAUAUAUUGCACCGUAUGGUUCAAUAGUGAAAGACGGUUUUGCUGUAACUUAUAGAUGGAUCCGCGCCGCAUUAGCUAGUUGGUAAGGUAACGGCUUACCACGGCAACGAUGCGUAGCCGACCUGAGAGGGUGAUCGGCCACACGAGAGCGGAGACACGCUCCAGGCGCCUACGGGACGCAGCAGUAGGGUAUCGGCCGCAAUGGGCGAAAGCCUGACGGAGCAACGCCGCGUGAGUGAUGAAGGUCUUCGGAGCGUAAAACUCUGAUAUGAGGGAAGAACAAAUGUGUAAGUAACUAUGCACGUCUUGACGGUACCUAAUCAGAAAGCCACGGCUAACUACGUG